UAGUCGGAGGUGUGUCUCGGACGGUCGGUUCGCCGCUUGUCGGUGCUCAACUGGCCGGUCCGGACGUCCUGCCGGUGGGGCCGCAAGGUCCCGUUAUCCUUCUUUGGUCCUCUUCACCGAGUGCCUUGGUGGGCCGGCACGUUUACUUUGAACAAAUUAGAGUGCUCAAAGCAGGCCGUUGGUCGCCUGAAUACUGUGUGCAUGGAAUAAUGGAAUAGGACCUCGGUUCCAUUUUGUUGGUUUUCAGAACUCGAGGUAAUGAUUAAUAGGGACGGACGGGGGCAUUCGUAUUGCGACGUUAGAGGUGAAAUUCUUGGAUCGUCGCAAGACGAACCGAUGCGAAAGCAUUUGCCAAGAACGUUUUCGUUGAUCAAGAACGAAAGUUAGAGGUUCGAAGGCGAUCAGAUACCGCCCUAGUUCUAACCAUAAACGAUGCCAGCUAGCCAUCCGCCGAAGUUCCUUCUAUGACUCGGCGGGCAGCUUCCGGGAAACCAAAGCUCUUGGGUUCCGGGGGAAGUAU
This 520-nucleotide ribosomal RNA is filed under the name Oristicta filicicola. RNAcentral's name for it is "SSU rRNA". It matches the Rfam family "Eukaryotic small subunit ribosomal RNA", at positions 631 to 1126 of the family's 1831-position model. The record is from RNAcentral. Lineage: Eukaryota; Metazoa; Arthropoda; Insecta; Odonata; Isostictidae.